UGGGGAAUUUUGGACAAUGGGCGCAAGCCUGAUCCAGCCAUGCCGCGUGUCUGAAGAAGGCCUUCGGGUUGUAAAGGACUUUUGUCAGGGAAGAAAAGGCUGUUGCUAAUAUCGACAGCUGAUGACGGUACCUGAAGAAUAAGCACCGGCUAACUACGUGCCAGCAGCCGCGGUAAUACGUAGGGUGCGAGCGUUAAUCGGAAUUACUGGGCGUAAAGCGAGCGCAGACGGUUACUUAAGCAGGAUGUGAAAUCCCCGGGCUCAACCUGGGAACUGCGUCCUGAACUGGGUGACUAGAGUGUGUCAGAGGGAGGUAGAAUUCCACGUGUAGCAGUGAAAUGCGUAGAGAUGUGGAGGAAUACCGAUGGCGAAGGCAGCCUCCUGGGAUAACACUGACGUUCAUGCUCGAAAGCGUGGGUAGCAAACAGGAUUAGAUACCCUGGUAGUCCACGCCCUAAACGAUGUCAAUUAGCUGUUGGGCAACUUGAUUGCUUAGUAGCGUAGCUAACGCGUGAAAUUGACCGCCUGGGGAGUACGGUCGCAAGAUUA
RNAcentral lists this ribosomal RNA (549 nucleotides) under uncultured bacterium. Its description in RNAcentral is "bacterial SSU rRNA". It matches the Rfam family "Bacterial small subunit ribosomal RNA", at positions 355 to 896 of the family's 1533-position model. The record is from RNAcentral.